RNAcentral lists this transfer RNA (72 nucleotides) under Loxodonta africana (African savanna elephant). It matches the Rfam family "tRNA". Rfam says of the family: Transfer RNA (tRNA) molecules are approximately 80 nucleotides in length. Their secondary structure includes four short double-helical elements and three loops (D, anti-codon, and T loops). Lineage: Eukaryota; Metazoa; Chordata; Mammalia; Proboscidea; Elephantidae. The record is from Rfam by way of RNAcentral.
UCCUGUGUGUGCAAAUGGUUAAGCGCUUGACUACUAGCCAAAAGGUUGGUGGUUCAAACCCACCCACAGGCA